AGAGCGAACGCUGGCGGCAUGCUUAACACAUGCAAGUCGCACGGUCAGCAAUGGCAGUGGCGGACGGGUGAGUAACGCGUAGGUAUCUAUCCACGGGUGGGGGACAACGUCGGGAAACUGACGCUAAUACCGCAUGAUACCCGAGGGUCAAAGGCGCAAGUCGCCUGUGGAGGAGCCUGCGUACGAUUAGCUUGUUGGUGGGGUAAAGGCCUACCAAGGCGACGAUCGUUAGCUGGUCUGAGAGGAUGAUCAGCCACAUUGGGACUGAGACACGGCCCAAACUCCUACGGGAGGCAGCAGUGGGGAAUAUUGGACAAUGGGCGAAAGCCUGAUCCAGCAAUGCCGCGUGUGUGAAGAAGGUCUUCGGAUUGUAAAGCACUUUCGGCGGGACGAUGAUGACGGUACCCGCAGAAGAACGCCCCGGCUAACUUCGUGCCAGCAGCCGC
RNAcentral lists this ribosomal RNA (446 nucleotides) under uncultured bacterium. RNAcentral describes it as "SSU rRNA". It matches the Rfam family "Bacterial small subunit ribosomal RNA", at positions 26 to 518 of the family's 1533-position model. The record is from RNAcentral.